UUCUUCGCUGGAGCACGCAUAUUCUUCCAAUCUCUAGAUGCAGCAAUCUUUUUGUUUUCACGGGUUUCAGAAAUUCCAGCAGAAAGUUUUGUUCUUCCCGUGAUAUCUACAAAUGAAAGGCUUACCCUGGGAUGUGAGUUAUCGGAUGGAACUGUCAUACGCGGACAAAAUGAAAUAUCUCAUCCAACCCAUGGAUCCAUGCAACCUAUAGACAAGGAUGCCUCUUCAGCCCCAGCACUUCCUUCUAGAAUAAAACGGAUAUUCUACAUGUCCAGUGAAGGAAGCAACUUAUUG
Molecule: unclassified non-coding RNA, 294 nt
Filed under: Hevea brasiliensis (rubber tree)
Lineage: Eukaryota; Viridiplantae; Streptophyta; Magnoliopsida; Malpighiales; Euphorbiaceae
Source: RNAcentral